This 253-nucleotide ribosomal RNA is filed under the name uncultured bacterium. RNAcentral describes it as "partial 16S ribosomal RNA". It matches the Rfam family "Bacterial small subunit ribosomal RNA", at positions 524 to 776 of the family's 1533-position model. The record is from RNAcentral.
UACAGAGGUGGCAAGCGUUGUUCGGAAUUACUGGGCGUAAAGCGCGCGUAGGCGGCUCGGCAAGUCGGGCGUGAAAUGCCGGGGCUCAACCCCGGGACUGCGUCCGAUACUUCCGAGCUGGAGGUAGGUAGGGGAGAUCGGAAUUCCUGGUGUAGCGGUGAAAUGCGCAGAUAUCAGGAGGAACACCGGUGGCGAAGGCGGAUCUCUGGGCCUUACCUGACGCUGAGGCGCGAAAGCUAGGGGAGCGAACAGG